GACGAACGCUGGCGGCGUGCUUAAUACAUGCAAGUGGAGCGACGAACCAGGCUUCGGCCUGGGGCAGAGCCGCGAACGGGUGAGUAACACGUGGGUAACCUGCCUCGAUGACCGGGACAACCCGGGGAAACCCGGGCUAAUACCGGAUGUGCUGUCCCCACAUCAGUGGAGACAGGAAAGGAAGCUUCGGCCUCCGCAUCGAGAUGGGCCCGCGGCCCAUUAGCUUGUUGGUGUGGUAACGGCUCACCAAGGCUG
Molecule: ribosomal RNA, 255 nt
Filed under: uncultured Actinomycetes bacterium
Lineage: Bacteria; Bacillati; Actinomycetota; Actinomycetes
Description: uncultured actinobacterium partial 16S ribosomal RNA
Rfam family: Bacterial small subunit ribosomal RNA
Source: RNAcentral